This 393-nucleotide ribosomal RNA is filed under the name uncultured bacterium. RNAcentral describes it as "partial 16S ribosomal RNA". It matches the Rfam family "Bacterial small subunit ribosomal RNA", at positions 523 to 918 of the family's 1533-position model. The record is from RNAcentral.
AUACGGAGGAUCCGAGCGUUAUCCGGAUUUAUUGGGUUUAAAGGGAGCGUAGGCGGACGCUUAAGUCAGUUGUGAAAGUUUGCGGCUCAACCGUAAAAUUGCAGUUGAUACUGGGUGUCUUGAGUACAGUAGAGGCAGGCGGAAUUUGUGGGGUAGUGGUGGAAUGCUUAGAUAUCACGAAGAACUCCGAUUGCGAAGGCAGCCUGCUGGACUGUAACUGACGCUGAUGCUCGAAAGUGUGGGUAUCAAACAGGAUUAGAUACCCUGGUAGUCCACACAGUAAACGAUGAAUACUCGCUGUUUGCGAUAUACAGUAAGCGGCCAAGCGAAAGCGUUAAGUAUUCCACCUGGGGAGUACGCCGGCAACGGUGAAACUCAAAUGAAUUGACGGGG